Molecule: long non-coding RNA, 303 nt
Filed under: Arabidopsis thaliana (thale cress)
Lineage: Eukaryota; Viridiplantae; Streptophyta; Magnoliopsida; Brassicales; Brassicaceae
Description: long non-coding RNA (ATHA_LNC000011)
Source: RNAcentral
AGAGAAUAUGAUGAUUCAGACAGUGGCGAUGAAGAAAAAAGUGGUAAUUACAGGCCUAAACUGAAGAGGCUGAGUGAACGUCUCGAUUUGCUCAACCAAGAGGUUGAAGCUGAGAAGGAACGAGGCGAGAAGAGUCAGGAGAAGCUUGAAUCUGCUGGGGAUGAGAGAUUCAAGGAGUCCAUUGAGACGCUUACCCUCGAUGAACUCAAUGAAUACAAAGAUAGGCUUCAGACAGUCCAUGGUAGGAUUGAAGGUCAAGUCAAUCACUUGCAGGCUUCGUCUUGCCUCAUGCUUCUCUCCAGA